Molecule: RNA transcript, 4106 nt
Organism: Amblyraja radiata (thorny skate)
Lineage: Eukaryota; Metazoa; Chordata; Chondrichthyes; Rajiformes; Rajidae
Gene name: rho guanine nucleotide exchange factor 7
Exons: 20
Source: RefSeq, a predicted model, not a curated record
AUGAGCUCGGCCGAGCAGACGGUGACCUGGCUCAUCAGCCUCGGGGUACUCGAGUCCCCCAAGAAGAGCGUGUCGGACCCCGAGGCCUUCCUGCGGGCCGUGCUCCGGGAUGGGGUGGCUCUCUGCCGGCUGCUGGAGCGGCUGGUGCCGGGCUCGGUGCAGCGGAUACACCAGGACCCCAAAUCAGAGAUGGAAUGUCUGAAUAACAUCAAAGAGUUUCUGAAAGCCUGUGGGGCGCUUCGAGUUGAGACUUUUGAUGCGAAUGAUCUUUAUCAAGGACAGAACUUCAACAAGAUUCUUAGCUCCCUGGUCACUUUGAAUAAAGUAACUGCAGAUAUUGGCGUUGGAAGUGACUCGGUAUGUGCACGUCAUCAAUCCCAUCAAAUAAAGUCAGCUGAUUCUCUCGCUGGAGCCCACUUGUCACUUGGAAGAACUUCCAAAAACUUUCCUGGAAAAUAUCGAAGUUUAGACAUGACUGAUAACAGCAACCAUCACAUGGUGGUAAAAGCAAAAUUCAACUUCUAUCAGACCAACGAGGAUGAACUCUGCUUUACCAAGGGUGAUAUCAUCCAUGUUACCAGAAUUGAGGAAGGGGGCUGGUGGGAAGGAACACUCAACAGCAAAAACGGCUGGUUUCCCAGCAAUUAUGUGAGAGAAAUGAAGCUGAAUGAAAAAACAGUCUCUCCGAAGUCCGCAACUUUGAAAAGUUCACCUAAGGGAUUUGAAACUCCUCCAAUUAGUAAAGGUUACUACAAUGUGGUGCUGCAGAACAUUCUAGACACGGAGUUUGACUAUGCGGAGGAACUAACAAUGCUUUUGUCGACGUUCCUGCGACCUCUACAAGCCAGUGACAAGUUUAGUGCUGUUGAAGUGGCGUCCUUGAUAGGAAAUCUGGAGGAUAUUUGCUCAUUCCAACAGACUCUUGUUCAGUGUUUAGAAGAUUGCACCAGGUUACCCGAGUCACAACAGAAAGUCGGGGGCUGCUUUGCCAACCUAAUGUCCCAGAUGAAAAGUCUGUACCUUGCAUAUUGUGCCAACCAUCCAUGGGCGGUGAACAUCCUCACAGAGUACAGUGAGGAGUUGGGGGAAUUUGUGGAAAUGAAAGGCGCAUCUAGUCCUGGGAUUCUCAUGCUUACCACCAGCCUCAGCAAACCGUUCAUGAGACUGGACAAAUAUCCAACUCUGCUGAAGGAACUGGAGCGUCACAUGGAGGAUUCCCACCCAGACUGGCCUGACAUCCAGAGAUCCAUGAUUGCAUUCAAAAGCCUUUCGUCGCAGUGUCAAGAAAUCCGGAAGAGAAAGGAGUUGGAACUACAGAUCCUGACGGAAACAGUCCAUGGCUGGGAGGGUGAAGAUAUUCGAUCCCUCGGCAACGUCAUCUACAUGUCCCAGCUCAUGGUGCAGAGUGGCAAUGAGGAGAAGUGUGAGAGAUAUUUUCUCCUGUUUCCACACGUCCUUCUCAUGCUUUCUGCCAGUCCCAGGAUGAGUGGUUUCAUUUAUCAGGGGAAAUUGCCAUUAACAGGAUUAACCGUAACCAAGUUAGAGGACAGUGAUGAGAACAAGAAUGCCUUUGAAAUUACUGGAAGUAUGAUUGAACGGAUUUUGGUGUCGUGUUCAAGUCACCAGGAUAUGCAGGAGUGGGUCGACCAUCUGCACAAGCAGACUAAAGCACCAAGUGUCGGAGUUGUAAGGCAACAGUCCAUGCCAUGUCACACACUUCCGUUGCAUCCCGUGACACCAAUCAACAAGCUUUCUGAUGGGUAUCCAAUAUCUUUGACUCCACCCUACCACACCCUUCCUCAUCCUUCCCUGCAUGGGACAUCCCACAGCACCCUGAGUUGGGGACCUCUGGAACCCCCCAAGAUGCCAAAGCCAUGGAGCUUGAGCUGCCUCCGACCUGCAGCCCCACUAAAACCGUCGGCUGCUCUUUGUUAUAAGGAGGACCUCAGUAGGAGCCCCAAAACCAUGAAGAAGCUGCUUCCCAAACGGAAACCAGAAAGGAAACCUUCUGAGGAGGAAUUUGCACUGAGGAGAAGCACAGCAGCUCUUGAAGAAGAUGCACAAAUAUUGAAAGUCAUUGAAGCUUACUGCACUAGUGCCAAAACCCGUCAAACUCUGAACUCAACAUGGCAGGGGACUGACUUGAUGCACAAUCACAUUCUGAGCGAUGAUGAUCUAUCAAGCUUGGACUCCUCAGCUCGUCGCAGCAGCCUCUCCCGCCUCGAACCCGCUGACCUUUCUGAAGACUCUGACUAUGACAGUAUAUGGCUGGCCCACAGUUACCGAGCAGGUUCAACAACUCGUAAAAGCUGCUGUUCGUAUAUUUCGCACCAGAACUAAGCUCCAGUUUGCAAGAAUUGCUUGUAUUAAUUGGCUGUUUUAUGUUUCCCUGCUGUACUGUAUUAAAAUGUUAAUGUGUCAAAGCAAGGUAUUUUGGGGUUCUACCCAAGGCUCCUAUUUCUUUUCUUCUUUUCCUUUUUGAUGAUGAGUGGGGGAGCACUCAUUCUGUAAUUGACUGGCCAGUUUAAGAACUCUGCACUUACAACAACUUGGACUUGAAAUGGUGCCAAACCUGGCGACUCUUGUAUACUGUUUCGGUGUACUAUUCCUAUACACUCGUAUUAAGUCUAAGAUGUGCUUGUGUAUAGUAAUACUUUUACUGAACUGUAUGCAAAAAAGAAUUUCACUGUACCUCGGUACAUGUGACAAUAAAGCACCAUUGAGCCAUUUGUCUUCUGUAGAUCAGUGGACCUCAGCAGAGUGAGUCCACAGAGGUGGAGCUGCAACUAACUUAAUUACCGUGAUCUUUUUGAGGGUUCACCAACUAGACUUCUGGUGAUUCAUGGUGUUCACUAACCUUCCUGCAAUUGUGGGUUCUGAACGCGAGUUAGAGUUGACUGCCUGUUCAAAUUGCCAGGGUGUGUGGUGUCAAAUGAUGGUCCUUGGUGACUGAAUGUCAGCAAGGUUCAAGUAUUAUGCUGUUGAACAGGGUAGGAAACACAGAAGGAAGUACGUAUUUGAAUUCAGAGGCUUAAUAGAACCAGAAUUUUUGUUCAACUGAGUUUAUGACAAGUGCCAAACUUGGCAGAUAUCGAGCGAAUCCAAAAUGGUUUUCCUUGCUUUCUUUUGCGUCUGUUUGUUUGGCUGUUCCCAUUUGAUAUUGUGCUUUCUGUUAAUCUUGUUGAUAGUCAUUACUAUUCAUCACAAAUAUUUUGGCAGAAAUUGUGCAUUGAUUGAGUGGUUCAUUUAUACAGUCUGAUAAUAUUUAAAAGCAGGACAUCUGCAAACCUUUGAGCAGAGGACUAUUGUGGGGUGUAGUGAAUACAUGGAGUUAGUGGCUGUUUGAAGAGCAAGAUGAGAGAAACUAGGGAGAUGUUUGGCCAUGAAACACUAGGAAUCUCCAAGUUAAAUCUUGUGACUUUGUAAUUUCACACAAACUUGGGGUGCAGACACUGAUAUUGGUCUGUCUGCCAUUGUGAACCAUGCUGGGGUAAUUGAGUACAGUACAAGUUCGAGAGAUUAAUUCCAAGGCUCAAACUCUACACAAGCGGAGAGUUACUAAAUUUCCCAUUGUGUGGAAGGACUACUACAGAAAAUAAUCAGAGGGUUCUGCUUGACAACAAUCGUAGUGCUGUAAUGCCCUAAAUGUGAUCACUUCUGCCGCUAAGCCUGAAGCCUGGCAAUGAUGAUAGCUGAGUAGUUGUUUGUUUCAGCCUUCAAACUGCUGUAAUCUGUUUAAGGGGACUGUUUAUAGAUCAGCCAAGUAUUUGCUUUCUAGAUUGUAAAUUAAAUUUUAUUUUGAAGAAAGUGUGGAGGAGGUAACUGCCAUUUUUGCUGGGUAGAGUUUUAUGUCUGCACAAAGCAGAGAACGGUUGGUGUGUUCACCGCUGUCUGUCUCCACUCCCUAGCUCUCCCCAGCAUGAGAACCGCCGUCCUAGAGCUGCUCAUGAUGGGGAGUGGGUGUAUGCGAGGUAGUCCAUGUUUAUGGGGCAGUGUCUGAGCCCAUGUAUGGGUUUGUUGUGGGCUUUGGGUGACGUCAGAGCGUGGGUGAGUGUGGGAGUUGGCUGUGGGAGUGAGAGUUGGAGCUGGGUAGGUGUAGGCGUGUU